This 237-nucleotide ribosomal RNA is filed under the name uncultured bacterium. RNAcentral's name for it is "partial 16S ribosomal RNA". It matches the Rfam family "Bacterial small subunit ribosomal RNA", at positions 15 to 235 of the family's 1533-position model. The record is from RNAcentral.
GAUCAUGGCUCAGGACGAACGCUGGCGGCGUGCUUAACACAUGCAAGUCGAACGAGAAUCUAAUGACGGAGUUUUCGGACAACUGAUUUAGAGGACAGUGGCGGACUGGUGAGUAACGCGUGAGGAACCUGCCUUUCAGGGGGGGACAACAGUUGGAAACGACUGCUAAUACCGCAUGAUGUGUAGCUGGGACAUCCCGGAUACACCAAAGAUUUAUCGCUGAAAGAUGGCCUCGCG